Molecule: long non-coding RNA, 724 nt
Organism: Poecilia latipinna (sailfin molly)
Lineage: Eukaryota; Metazoa; Chordata; Actinopteri; Cyprinodontiformes; Poeciliidae
Exons: 2
Source: RefSeq, a predicted model, not a curated record
GAUACUUGCCUUUUAUUCACCGGCUGCCAGUCACAUAUGGGGAUUAUUGUUGUCGUCUAACUUUAAUUUCUGCAAUUCAAGAACACCUAAGGAUGAGCGGUUGCAGUCGCCGUACUGCAGACGUGUGCACAACACACUUUUCAAGAAUUUACCAAGAAACGGUGUCCUGGAGCGGAGUGUCAAAGCGAUGCCAUGCAGAUAUUCAUUUGUUUUACAUGUAAACAAACCAAGAAACCAGUCGGACAAUUUCCUGCCUUCCCACACAGACGUGCACAUUCCCUCUCAUUCUGUUCCAUCCAUCCAUUACAUAAUCAGGCCCAGAGGUUCUUGUUCCUCUGUAACUUUUCCCCAAACUGAGGAAAACAACAAACAAUUAAAUUCAGCUAAAGCAAACAAGCUCAAACUUUAACAUAUUUUAUUGGAAUUUUACGUGACAAUAACACAAAUGCAAGUGCUUACUCAUCAAGAAAGGAAACGAUGACAAAUGAUACCUUGUUCUGUCUAAACUUUGAAGAGUCCAGAGUGGGUCAGUUUAUGAGAUUACUAUUUAAAACCAAAGGUGAUUGUUUCAAUAAUACUUGAUGUGUUACAACACCACCACAGCAAAAUUCAAGAACUCUACAGGAGGUGAACCGAUGCCACUGAUGGAGCUGGAGGGAAACAAAAGAUAAAACCUCUCUACAUGACUGUGUUCACUCUUUUCAGCAGUAAAAUGGAAGUUUAA